GAUGCAUUGAAAAGUGUUGAGGAGGCUGUAAAUAGACGCCUCACAAAUUUUUAUCUUUGGCAUAUAACGCAUGAUCAUAUAACGCUUGGCCAACCACUUCACACACUCUGCAAGUCUAAUUUAUGCAAAUUAUGGUACCACCCACUUAGUAAAGGACUGUGGCUAAUCUGCAUAUGCACAUUAGCUCUAUUACCUAUUAGCGUACAAAAAGGGCCUGGAAGUAGGAAAAGAACUACAUUUCCUAUCUGCCCUGGCUGUCACAGGCUAAUAGCACCAGCUGCUUUCCAUUGCCCUAAUGAGUGAUUCUACUGCUGCAACGAGACCAAAUGCAAUGAAAGAUUCUUACUGAGGUGCUGUUUUCCACAUGCAGUGCUUGGCUGUGUUGGAGGCCACCAAGAAAGACUUCCUGGCUGUCAUGUGGAAGCUAAGUGGGCUGGGGUCAAAAGGGUUUCUGGCCAUGGUGCUUGUGCUGCAGUGAUCUUGUUCUCCAUCACACUCCAACACAGGUAGCCAUCUUCACCCUCUCCCAAGAGGUGAUGGUACGACUCUGAAUAAACACUCUAUUAUUAUAAAUAAAGUGUGACUGUGUCUUGUAGUCCACCCACCAACCUUUUUCUGUUCAGUGGUUUGACUUGUGCUACACAGAGGUGAGUCCAGUUAUGCUGCAAGAAGUGUAAGUAUGAUGGGGUUGACGAGUGGGAGGAGAGGUUCUUCCUGUGCAAGAUGGACCAGCAAACAGAUUUAAAGGCUGUUGUGAAUGAUGGGUUACAGAAAUGUCUUCCUGUGUUUAUUAUUAUUUGAAGUUAUAUAUUCUGAUUUGUAAGCAAGAUUAUGAAGUCUCCUUUUGCUAAUCAUUUUACAGCAUUAUUAAAAAGUCCAUGUACACAAUGUU
Molecule: long non-coding RNA, 892 nt
Organism: Ictalurus punctatus (channel catfish)
Lineage: Eukaryota; Metazoa; Chordata; Actinopteri; Siluriformes; Ictaluridae
Exons: 5
Source: RefSeq, a predicted model, not a curated record